AGAGAGAGAUUUUAAUCCCCACCCCUAACUCCCAAAGCUAGGAUUCUAAAAAACUAUUUUCUGUU
Molecule: transfer RNA, 65 nt
Filed under: Clarias gariepinus (North African catfish)
Lineage: Eukaryota; Metazoa; Chordata; Actinopteri; Siluriformes; Clariidae
Description: partial tRNA-Pro
Source: RNAcentral